This 466-nucleotide ribosomal RNA is filed under the name uncultured bacterium. Its description in RNAcentral is "SSU rRNA". It matches the Rfam family "Bacterial small subunit ribosomal RNA", at positions 26 to 518 of the family's 1533-position model. The record is from RNAcentral.
AGGACGAACGCUGGCGGCGUGCUUAACACAUGCAAGUGGAGCGACGAACCAGGGCUUGCCCUGGGGCAGAGCCGCGAACGGGUGAGUAACACGUGGGUUACCUGCCUUGAUGACCGGGACAACCCGAGGAAACUCGGGCUAAUACCGGAUGUGCCCGCAAGGGGAAAGGAAGCUUCGGCCUCCGCAUCAAGAUGGGCCCGCGGCCCAUUAGCUUGUUGGUGAGGUAACGGCUCACCAAGGCUUCGAUGGGUAGCUGGUCUGAGAGGAUGACCAGCCAGACUGGGACUGAGAACGGCCCAGACUCCUACGGGAGGCAGCAGUAGGGAAUUUUCCACAAUGGGCGAAAGCCUGAUGGAGCAACGCCGCGUGCAGGAUGAAGGCCUUCGGGUCGUAAACUGCUUUUCUCUGUGAAGAUUAUGACGGUAACAGAAGAAUAAGGAUCUGCUAACUACGCGCCAGCAGCCGC